CUUCAGCAGCAUCCUCACUAGCUUCUACCUGUGGUCUAUUCUGUACAAGUAUAAUAUCCUUACAUGGCGCUUGGAGCAGCAGCUCAGUAUGCAAUGGUGUACUCUCAGAUGAUCAAAACACUAAAUAUAUACAAGUACUUAAUUUAUUGGAAACUCAGCAAGAAACGGAUACUGAUAUCAACUGUGAAAGGCUUGUGGGUUGGAAGACUGGAAGCAGACCAGCAGGCAACAACUAGAUCAAUAUGAUAAUUGGAACACCCAUUUGAGCAAGAUGAUACGGCUAAGUAAUUUAGGUAUUGGAUGAUGAUUUCUGAAGCUGAGAGGGCCUCAACCUCGAACCUUCAUUUUAUAAAAGAAAAGAAGAAAAAAAAACAGAAUAAAAAAGGGACGUGAAACCAUAAUCUCAAAAAAAAAAAAAAAAA
This is a long non-coding RNA of Papaver somniferum (opium poppy), 422 nucleotides long. RefSeq lists it as uncharacterized. The record is from RefSeq and is a predicted model, not a curated record. The transcript has 2 exons. Lineage: Eukaryota; Viridiplantae; Streptophyta; Magnoliopsida; Ranunculales; Papaveraceae.